RNAcentral lists this transfer RNA (88 nucleotides) under Pseudomonadota bacterium. Its description in RNAcentral is "tRNA-Ser". It matches the Rfam family "tRNA". Rfam says of the family: Transfer RNA (tRNA) molecules are approximately 80 nucleotides in length. Their secondary structure includes four short double-helical elements and three loops (D, anti-codon, and T loops). Further hydrogen bonds mediate the characteristic L-shaped molecular structure. tRNAs have two regions of fundamental functional importance: the anti-codon, which is responsible for specific mRNA codon recognition, and the 3' end, to which the tRNAs corresponding amino acid is attached (by aminoacyl-tRNA synthetases). tRNAs cope with the degeneracy of the genetic code in two manners: having more than one tRNA (with a specific anti-codon) for a particular amino acid; and 'wobble' base-pairing, i.e. permitting non-standard base-pairing at the 3rd anti-codon position. Lineage: Bacteria; Pseudomonadati; Pseudomonadota. RNAcentral also lists the same sequence under 1 other name. The record is from RNAcentral.
GGAGGGGUGGCUGAGCGGUUGAAAGCACCGGUCUUGAAAACCGGCGAUGCGCGAGCAUCCGUGGGUUCGAAUCCCACCCCCUCCGCCA